Molecule: microRNA precursor, 103 nt
Filed under: Microtus ochrogaster (prairie vole)
Lineage: Eukaryota; Metazoa; Chordata; Mammalia; Rodentia; Cricetidae
Description: miRNA (ENSMOCG00000008942.1)
Source: RNAcentral
GAAAUGCCUCCUUGAGAUCCAACUGUAAGGAAUUUUCUCAAUUAGUGAUCAUUGAGGGGAGCAGCCCAUGGUGAGUGGUGCCAUCUCUGGGCUGGUGGUUCUG